This 269-nucleotide ribosomal RNA is filed under the name uncultured bacterium. RNAcentral describes it as "partial 16S ribosomal RNA". It matches the Rfam family "Bacterial small subunit ribosomal RNA", at positions 524 to 791 of the family's 1533-position model. The record is from RNAcentral.
GACGUAGGGCGCGAGCGUUGUCCGGAUUUAUUGGGCGUAAAGAGCUCGUAGGCGGCUUGUCGCGUCGUCCGUGAAAACCCGGGGCUCAACUCCGGGCUUGCGGGCGAUACGGGCAGGCUAGAGUUCGGUAGGGGAGACUGGAAUUCCUGGUGUAGCGGUGAAAUGCGCAGAUAUCAGGAGGAACACCGGUGGCGAAGGCGGGUCUCUGGGCCGAUACUGACGCUGAGGAGCGAAAGCGUGGGGAGCGAACAGGAUUAGAAACCCCCGGU